RNAcentral lists this ribosomal RNA (484 nucleotides) under uncultured bacterium. RNAcentral describes it as "bacterial SSU rRNA". It matches the Rfam family "Bacterial small subunit ribosomal RNA", at positions 14 to 518 of the family's 1533-position model. The record is from RNAcentral.
CGAUCUGGCUCAGAACGAACGCUGGUGGCGUGUCUUAUACAUGCAAGUCGAGCGAGGCAGCAAUGCCGAGCGGCGAGCGGGUGAGUAACGCGUAAGCAAUCUGCCCCAUAUCAGGAAAUACCCGUGCCAACGCGCGGUUAAUGUCCAGGAGAGUGGCCCUCUGCAUGGAGGGUUGACUAGAGAUUUAUCGGUAUGGGAUGAGCUUGCGUCCGAUUAGCUAGUUGGCGGGCAACGGCCCACCAAGGCGACGAUCGGUAGCCGGCCUGAGAGGGUGAUCGGCCACAUUGGGACUGAGAUACGGCCCAGACUCCUACGGGAGGCAGCAGUAGGGAAUAUUGCACAAUGGGGGAAACCCUGAUGCAGCAACGCCACGUGUGGGAAGAAGCAUUUCGGUGUGUAAACCACUGUCAUGAGGAAUAGCCGCUCCGACGGACCUUGAUGUACCUUGAGAGGAAGCACCGGCAAACUUCGUGCCAGCCGCAGC